AGGCAAAUGAAAUUGUUUACCUCUUCCCUCACCUUGGCACAUUCGAGCACCAAGACCUGAGAUACCAGAAAAGAAAGACCGGCUCCCACUGCCUUCCGGUUCCUGCUCUCCCCCGACUGCCUACCUGCUUUCUUAGAAUCUACAUCAGCCUAACCAACUCUGCAAAUUCUCUUAAACCAGCAUCCACAAAAUCCCUAAUAGUUUACUAGCCAAGCAAGAGCUCUGCUCAUGGCUUUCCCUGGAAUUUUCCUAGAUUCCCUAAGAAAGAGAAAGGUAUCUGUGAGGAAAUGGAAUCUCCUGGGGUUGCCAGGCUACUGCUUGGGGGAUCUACACACAGGUUGUCACAGCAGGUCCUUCUAUGCCCAAUCCUCCACCUUAGUGACGGUCUGGAUGAAUGUUCAGAAUGUCUGUGAGUCUGAGGCCCCCAAAAGAAGAGGGGAAAAUGGGGAAAGAAAAGAGAAGAUGGUGAAAUCAGAGACCCUCAGGCCAAUUUGUACAGGCUUCUUCUCAUGAAAUAUCUGAAGAAAACCAAAGCUAAGCCCUCAACUACUUUCAACAGCUGGAUACAGAAGUGGCCUGAGUACAAACACAGGGUUCUUUGGCUUCCACUCAUCUCACUGGCUAUUCACUACCUCUCUAGAAGAUGGGUAAGGACAGGAGAGAGGGUUGUGCACCUGGAAGCAGCAGCAGCAGUAAAUGUAAUGGAGAAACACAUGGCAGCUGGAGAACAAACAGCCGCAAGGACACCCAGUCCCUCUGUAGUUGGGGACAGCAACUCCCACCCAUGAGCUCCUCACCUCCCCACAACAGACUACCCAGAACUGUCGAGCCAGCCCAAGGCUAGAAUGUAACCAUGCCUUGCCACUGCUUCACAGCGGGUGUCAUGGGUGUGAUUUCUGGUUCAGAGAGCAUGGUUCCAAAGAUACAAUUAAAGGACACAGGCAAAAGCACUCAAGCCUCAACCUCCAUCUGGACUCAGCUGCAGAGGGAGACAGGGAGACAAGGCAGGUCAAAGAGGACAACCUGAGCAAGCCUGCCAGAGUUCCUCAGCUCAGGCCAGGUACUGGUGCUUUUUAUCUACUUUAACAAGGCAACAUUUGGGUGUGGUGCAAUGUGUGUGGGUGUGUGCGCGCUCGUGUACAUGCGCAUGUGUUUAUAUAUUCUAUAUUAACUACCUGAAUGUUCUUCCAGAAAAUUCCUUUCUCCUUUUAUCACAUAAAGUCAACCAAAGGUGCCAAACACAAGGAAUCUUCCAAAGCCAGGGAAGUGUAGAAGGAAGAUGAAGAUUGAGGGGACUAGAAAGUUGGGGUCCUCAGACUCACAAAGGGACUAUGGCCUGGUCAGUUGAAAAGGAAAGAGCCCCACAGCAGCCCACUCCAUGUGUCAUGUGACCUAAUCCUUAUGACAGCACUACAUAUUAGGAAGGUGCUAUCAGCCCCAUUUUCAAGAUGCACAAAGGCUCGCCAAGAUAAAUAUGGGGGGAGCAAGACUCAAAUAGAAACUAUAAGGGACAGAGAAAGAACUUGCCCAUGAAACUGACCCUUGGAGAGCAGAGAACAAGG
Molecule: long non-coding RNA, 1562 nt
Organism: Fukomys damarensis (Damara mole-rat)
Lineage: Eukaryota; Metazoa; Chordata; Mammalia; Rodentia; Bathyergidae
Exons: 4
Source: RefSeq, a predicted model, not a curated record